UAAUUAUUUCAAAAACAAAAACUUUGUUCCAACUUUGACAGCACAGAUAUUAAACUGCUAAACUUCCAAAAAAAACAACAAUCUAUUGUCUUUUUAAAGUUCAUUUUUGUUGCAAGUUAGAAUUAUUUGACCUUCAUGUACAACAAAAUUCAAUAUUGUUAAUAUUUGAUAUAUUUCUAAUGGCACAGGUUGUCUUAAAGCAAAUAUCUAUUUAUAUUUGAAUUAUCAGUAGACAGAAACUGGACCAACACUGAAAUAUAUCUUGUAGAUUUGCUAAUAUUUAGAACAACGGAACCUAAUGCAACAAAACCCUUUUCUUUUUUUAUUUGCACAAAUCUGAUCUGAAGACUUAAACCAAAACCUUACCAGAGAUUAACAAAAUGGUGACAGAAGAGGGAUUAUUAAAAUACAUUAGGUAGCACCACAUGGCAGUGACCUUUAACAUUCUUAAGAACCAUUGUAGAAUUUGAAAAAUCUGAGAAAAGAUUUUUGUUUGUUUUGUUUUUUUUUUCAAGCUCGAAGAAGAGCUGGUUGGAAUUGUAGAGGUGAUUGGUAUGGUGUCCAACAAGGGAGAAAUAAUGGCAUCAAAUUACAACGUGCUGCGAGAGGAUAAAGGCAUCGCAUUUGACUUGGAGCUCUACAAUGAAGCACUGAAAGUUGUCCAUGAUUUCCCCCAGUACUACCCGUUCGAAGCAGCUUCAAGUGGAUAGCGUGCACAGUUGCUUUCACUCAAAUUGUUGUUUUUUUCUGUUGUUUUAAGAAAAUGUUCAAAUAUUUCUAUUGACACAUCUCUCAAAAAAAAUAAUAAAAAAAAGUCAAUUUA
Cynoglossus semilaevis (tongue sole) is the source of this 823-nucleotide long non-coding RNA. RefSeq lists it as uncharacterized. The transcript has 2 exons. The record is from RefSeq and is a predicted model, not a curated record. Lineage: Eukaryota; Metazoa; Chordata; Actinopteri; Pleuronectiformes; Cynoglossidae.